AAAAAAAGACAAACUCACAGAUCCACCUAGAGAUGCUCCUGAGAGAAAAUCGGGGAAUCUCCUAUCUUCUCUGACGGUCAGGAGGCUCUGUGAUGUCACCUAGAGGGUUUCCCUUCUGAUGUAGCAGGUGUGUGACCUGCUCAUCACUCAUUGUCCCAUUUCUGCCACACACAGAGCUGCUGUCUGGGUCUCCUACUGGAGGGUGAAUUUAGCCCUGCACCCAACUACUUCCUUUUAUGGACAGGGGCCCGGAGACUUCCGAACAAGUCUACCAAUCCAAUGAACAACGUUGAUGAACAGAUACAUUAUUUUUGGUAAGCAUU
This 323-nucleotide long non-coding RNA is filed under the name Felis catus (domestic cat). RNAcentral describes it as "lncRNA (ENSFCAG00000043686.2)". The record is from RNAcentral. Lineage: Eukaryota; Metazoa; Chordata; Mammalia; Carnivora; Felidae.